This 74-nucleotide transfer RNA is filed under the name Eubacterium sp. Its description in RNAcentral is "tRNA-Gln". It matches the Rfam family "tRNA". From Rfam's summary of the family: Transfer RNA (tRNA) molecules are approximately 80 nucleotides in length. Their secondary structure includes four short double-helical elements and three loops (D, anti-codon, and T loops). Further hydrogen bonds mediate the characteristic L-shaped molecular structure. tRNAs have two regions of fundamental functional importance: the anti-codon, which is responsible for specific mRNA codon recognition, and the 3' end, to which the tRNAs corresponding amino acid is attached (by aminoacyl-tRNA synthetases). tRNAs cope with the degeneracy of the genetic code in two manners: having more than one tRNA (with a specific anti-codon) for a particular amino acid; and 'wobble' base-pairing, i.e. permitting non-standard base-pairing at the 3rd anti-codon position. RNAcentral also lists the same sequence under 1 other name. The record is from RNAcentral. Lineage: Bacteria; Bacillati; Bacillota; Clostridia; Eubacteriales; Eubacteriaceae.
UCCCUUGUCGUCUAAUGGUAGGACACAAGAUUUUGAUUCUUGGUAUGGUAGUUCGAAUCUAUCCGAGGGAGCCA